This 1263-nucleotide long non-coding RNA is filed under the name Felis catus (domestic cat). Its description in RNAcentral is "lncRNA (ENSFCAG00000051679.1)". Lineage: Eukaryota; Metazoa; Chordata; Mammalia; Carnivora; Felidae. The record is from RNAcentral.
UUUAUAAACUCGGUCCUGUAAUAAGACCUGUAGUUACCAGAGUAAAGUAUUAAACGUAAAGCUGGAUAAGGGGAAAUUAAUUAUAAUGUAGCAGUUUGGUUUUAAACAAUGCUGUAUUUGAACUGCAAGGUUGUGAGGUCGGAUGGGGGGUAUAUUUUAAAGAGUCAGUGGGAAAUUUGGGAGGCAGCUCAGCCCCUGAAUGCCUGGACUCUCUCAGUAAGAUUCAGAAUUCCCCCAUAAAGAAAGAGGGGCCAAUGGCUAUCUCUCUGAGAGCCUGAGUUAGGUAACACUCCUGGUCUACCUUGAAACCCUGUAAGGUCCACCUUACAACUACUGACCCUUUUGUGAGUGUAUCACACCUCUUCUGACAGGACAAGAUCCAGUUUCCUUACAUACCAGAAGUCGGCCUAAAUAGUGCCCAAUUUUCUGCAUACCAUGCCCAGAGUGGUGAAGUGUUUGAUCCUCCAAAUCUCUACGGAUGGAAAAGUGCUACACCUGCUUGAAGAGUUUCAAGUCUGUAGUCCGUGCUUUCAAACUUAGUCUCCCCAGAGGCUCCAGCAAACUGAGAGCAACCUCAUCUGCUCUUGAGAAAGAGAAAGAAAAGACAGGAACUAGUCCAACAGUUGAACUGCACUGAAUAGUUUAAUGCUACCCUUUUAACAGCUGGAAAUUUUUCAUGGAAUUGUUCCAACCACUCCUCAACUUGGGAAAAAAUCAUUCAGGAACCUUCUGCCUUACAAGCAAUUCAUAACCCCUGGCAAAGUUGAAUCUAAAAAAUAUACAACGUGCCUAUGAGUCAUCCUUAAAAUACUUUUCUUCAAUAAGCUUCUGUAAUGGGGAAAAAUUAUCAUUCCACACAAGCUUCUGAGACUUGUUACCACUUUGCAGAUUGAAUAACCCUUGGAGACAAGGCAAUCUACGGGCUAGACAGCCUGGAAACAGCUUCCAGACCAAUCAGCUGCUGGGAAACAGUUUUUGGCCCAAUCACCCACCUGGAAACUGUACAUGGACCACUCGCUGUCUUCUAAGAACCACUUCUCCUAAAAUCUGCCACUGCUGCCUUGCAAACCAAACCAGAGAGAGAAAAUAUACCUGAAUUAUUUCUACACUGACCUUGUGAGUCCCAGCCCAUCUGUGCCCUUUUGACAAGUGCUUCGAACUCCAUGCCCCUCAGUGGAAUUCAUUCUGUAUUGAAUAAUUUUUUGGCCAAGCCCUAUCCUUUGUGGAAAGAGGUAAGGAAUAAAUACAUUUAAGAAUGUAUCA